AUUUUCUUAAUAUAAUUAGUAUAGGUGUCUUCCAAUCACCUAGCCUUGGUGCAACUCCAAGAGAAAAUA
Molecule: transfer RNA, 69 nt
Filed under: Staurois latopalmatus (Sabah splash frog)
Lineage: Eukaryota; Metazoa; Chordata; Amphibia; Anura; Ranidae
Description: tRNA-Gly
Source: RNAcentral